GGUGGUGAAUGUGACGGCCUGGACCUCCAUCGUGCGGCUGCUCGCCACCUGCGCGGGGAAAACGCCCCAGACGGCGGCGAAGAUCAACACUUACAAGCGGCCACGCAGCGUGAUCCUGGAGCCGCAGGCCCUCGUGGGCGGCCGCUACACCCUGCGCUGCUAUGUGACACACCUGUUCCCCGUGGGCUUGCUGGUGCUGACCCUGCGACGUGGCGGCCGGAUCAUGUAUUUUGAACGCCUGGAGCGCUUCAAAAGCCUAGAUCUGGCCAACGUGACCCUGACCCACACGUUUCACGCCAGGCCCAGAGACCUCUGGCAGCCCAUGACCUGCCACGCGCGCCUCAAUCUCAGCGGCCUGGUGGUGUACAGCAGCUCGGCACCUGUCAUCCUGACAGCCCUGGAUUGGAGCCCUGAGUCCAAAGCCUUGGCCUACACAUCCAUUGCGGCCUUCGUGGGGAUCCUUCUAGCACUGGGGGUCACCUUCCUGAACAGAUGCCUAGCAACGCGACAUACAGGGAAGUGCUCUGCCGGCUGAGAGCAAGGGAAAAAAAAUCUGGAACAAUUUGCAAUUCGGAAAACUGCUCAGACCAAUAAAGAUUCC
RNAcentral lists this long non-coding RNA (601 nucleotides) under Cavia porcellus (domestic guinea pig). RNAcentral's name for it is "lncRNA (ENSCPOG00000021764.2)". The record is from RNAcentral. Lineage: Eukaryota; Metazoa; Chordata; Mammalia; Rodentia; Caviidae.